Notechis scutatus (mainland tiger snake) is the source of this 750-nucleotide non-coding RNA. NCBI's taxonomy places the organism in Eukaryota, Metazoa, Chordata, Lepidosauria, Squamata, Elapidae. The record is from RefSeq and is a predicted model, not a curated record.
CUGACUGACUGACUGACCGACUGACCAACUGACUCUUGACGGACAUGAGGCUAUGGGUCUGGUUCUGCUCUACCACUUUUUCUAUCCUAAAAUGAAUAUGUAUAUAAGCGAUUAGAUCUCCAUUGGGUGGCUUGGAUCUCUACACCUAGAUGAACACAGCCCCAUGUCACGAUCCUGGAUACGUCUCUGGUCUGUCUUCUAGGGCCAAGGCAACGCCUACCAUCUCCUGAUGGCUCUCGGUCCCAGACACACACGAGGCCCUGACCCUCGGCUCGGGCGCUACCCGAGGGCCGAUCGGUCUGAAGGUCUCCUUUGGAACUAAGUUGAGAUGUGGGAAGGAUCCCCUUGAGAAGGGCAUGGGGUGGGGUGGGGGGCAGAGCCAGCAGCUGGCUUUCCACUGCAUUUUAUGCACUCCAGAUGCCUCAGCUGCUCCACUGGCCACCCCAGGAGAGACACAGACACGGCUGUCAGGGGUCCCUAGGGGAACAUCUCACUCCCUGCCCCUUGCUUCCUUCCUUCCUUCCUUCCUUCCUGUCACAGCUGUCCUAACUAGAGAGAGAGGUGAGACACUUUUCACCUACCACUAAAUAAAAAUGCUCGGGGCCUUUUCUGAAGGUGAAUCCUACGGCCACAAGAGAGAGAGAGGACUGCAUUGGAAGAGAAGGUCAUUGUAUGUUAAAAAAAAGUAUUCCAAAAAUUUCAGCGAUGCUUGGCGUAAAACUUGAACUUGUUUUUCAACGUAAAGUAAAA